RNAcentral lists this ribosomal RNA (480 nucleotides) under uncultured bacterium. RNAcentral describes it as "partial 16S ribosomal RNA". It matches the Rfam family "Bacterial small subunit ribosomal RNA", at positions 29 to 506 of the family's 1533-position model. The record is from RNAcentral.
UUGAACGCUGGCGGCAUGCCUUACACAUGCAAGUCGAACGGUAACAGGUCUUCGGCUGCUGACGAGUGGCGAACGGGUGAGUAAUACAUCGGAACGUGCCCGAUCGUGGGGGAUAACACAGCGAAAGCUGUGCUAAUACCGCAUACGACCUGAGGGUGAAAGCGGGGGAUCGCAAGACCUCGCGCGAUAGGAGCGGCCGAUAUCGGGUUAGCUUGUUGGUGAGGUAAAGGCUCACCAAGGCGACGAUCCGUAGCUGGUCUGAGAGGACGACCAGCCACACUGGAACUGAGACACGGCCCAGACUCCUACGGGAGGCAGCAGUGGGGAAUUUUGGACAAUGGGCGCAAGCCUGAUCCAGCCAUGCCGCGUGAGUGAAGAAGGCCUUCGGGUUGUAAAGCUCUUUCAGACGGAAAGAAAUCGGGCGCGUGAAUAGCGUGCCUGGAUGACGGUACUGUCAGAAGAAGCACCGGCUAACUACGU